GGUUCAGCGAGGGUUCGGACUUCAUCUUUCCGGUUCGUCCCCUAAAUGAAACAAGCCUCGAUACGCGCUUUGCGGAAACGCCCCUUCCAUUACCCGAUACAUGCUUUGAAGAUUCGGCACACACAAGGAGUCGAAGUCUACACUUGAGAAUGUGCUCAUGGACAUUGUGCAUGACUACUGUAUGCCGAAACAGCCUAUCUUAGCUGUUGUGGAAGGAGACUUUCCUCCAUUGCCUUGUUCAACGUCGAAGCCACCAGCGCCAAAGAAAACGUCUGGGCCAACUGAAGAAUGAUGAAUCCAGACCUCGAGGGAUUAUUCUCCAGUUGACAUCGUGACUCAACCGAGAUGGAGUUUUGUAAGCCUGCGAAAAAGUCCAGCUUCCUCCAAAGCAACAACAUGUGGUUUGCAGAGGAUUUGUCUCCAUCUAUCAGAGAGAGAAGAAGGCAGCUCUGGCCACUGGUGGUGAAGGCACGUGAGCAAGGAAAGACUGCUAAUUUCAUCGGCGGGUGAGCCUUUGUCAACGUGACUGAACUGGUUCUUGCUACUUAAAAAAUAUUUCCCUUUGUUAGAAAACUUUUCACAAUUUUUUUAAGAAGGUGCUUUUAUUUAAACCUAAAGCACAACCUUUGCGAUUCAAAUGUAAAUUUUUGGUGACAAAGUCAAUCAUUUUAUGUUAAUUUGAUACAUAAUCUUUGACAGUGUUUGUCAAUUAUCGCGAAAGGCCUUAUUUUUCAAAAUCCUAUACCUGUUGAUUUUGUAAUGUUUACUGCUGUGUUAAGCACUUCAUUGCUAUUCGUGUUCUAAGUAUUAGUAAAAAGGGCAACAAUUUACCUUUAAAUUCCUUCAGCUCAGUAUUUUUUGCACACUAUUCUAAUAAGAGCUGAUUGACUGCUUAAGCUUCUAUGAACAAAUUAUGCUUAUUUAGACUUGUACUAUUACUAUUAUUACUACUUAUAGAUAUUAUAAUGGUCCAGCCC
This is a long non-coding RNA of Phyllopteryx taeniolatus (common seadragon), 977 nucleotides long. RefSeq lists it as uncharacterized. The record is from RefSeq and is a predicted model, not a curated record. NCBI's taxonomy places the organism in Eukaryota, Metazoa, Chordata, Actinopteri, Syngnathiformes, Syngnathidae. The transcript is spliced from 3 exons.